CCAGUCUAAAAGGAAAAACUAAACCAGGAUUCUCCCAGUAACGGCGAGUGAACGGAGAUUAGCCCAUCACCGAAGCCUAUUCAAGGGUGGACAAGGCAAUGUGGUGUUCGGGCGUGCACCUGGGGACGCUGGCCUACUCGAAGUCCAACUCCGAUUAUGGCUCGUACAACGCCCAGAGCGGGUGAAAGGCCCGUGCGGGUAGGUGGUGAUUCUAUGGCGCUCCUCAGAUGUGCAUGCUCUCGAGUCGGAUUGCUUGAGAAUGCAGUCCAAAGUGGGUGGUAAACUCCAUCCAAGGCUAAAUACUGGCGCGAGUCCGAUAGUAGACAAGUACCGUGAGGGAAAGUUGAAAAGUACUCUGAAGAGAGA
Molecule: ribosomal RNA, 366 nt
Filed under: Dogielius catlaius
Lineage: Eukaryota; Metazoa; Platyhelminthes; Monogenea; Dactylogyridea; Dactylogyridae
Description: partial 28S ribosomal RNA
Rfam family: Eukaryotic large subunit ribosomal RNA
Source: RNAcentral